This 375-nucleotide ribosomal RNA is filed under the name Udonella sp. EMP-2009. RNAcentral describes it as "eukaryotic LSU rRNA". It matches the Rfam family "Eukaryotic large subunit ribosomal RNA", at positions 68 to 440 of the family's 3401-position model. Lineage: Eukaryota; Metazoa; Platyhelminthes; Monogenea; Gyrodactylidea; Udonellidae. The record is from RNAcentral.
ACCAGGAUUCUCUUAGUACGGCGAGUGAACAGAGAUUAGCCCAGCACCGAAGCCUAUAGUCUACUAUAAGGCAAUGUGGUGUUUAAAGUUGCAUCAGAUUCUAAACUUAGAUCUUAAGUACGCAUGUGAAAGCGGCUUGCUCAGGAAGGUGGAAGUCCUGUUUACGAUUUAAGUUUAAGUUUCUUUUGCUUCUUUUGGAGUCGGAUUGUUUGAGAAUGCAAUCCAAAGUUGGUGGUAAACUCCAUCAAAGGCUAAAUACCUGUGUGAGUCCGAUAGUCGACAAGUACCGUGAGGGAAAGUUGAAAAGUACUCUAAAUAGAGAGUAAAAAGUACGUGAAACCAUAAAGAGGUAAACGGAGAGAGUCAAGCUUUUAG